GGUUGUCAUAGUGAUUGUACCUUCGUACAGAUGUGGACACUGUCAAGGUCAUAUCGUGAACUUUUUGUUUCAAUCAUUCAAUUUAUCAGAACCUGCAACAGUUGCUUUUAUCCCCCUCACAUUCACCUCCCAGAUUCUGAUUAUGUGACUGCAGAGUAUGAGAAAAGGACCUUAAUAUGCACCAACGAUCUAGUUGGGCCUUGCACAAUCCUACUCCACAUUCGGUACACCAUCAGUGGUGUGAGGCUCAAGUGCUUCUUCACCAUGCCUCUCCGGCAGCUCCUCAGACAGUGGACUCAAAUCGCGCAAACAUCAGCAGCAGAUGUGGUUACUGUUAAGAACCUUGGUCUCCUUUGAAUCUGUGGAGCAACCUCAUCAUUCCUUAAGUGAUUAAGUAUUACAAGAGUCCCUCUCAUACUAGGCACCUCCAGCAAAACUCAAACUACACCCGGGUGAAUCCUUCCGGUUUGCAUCACAAUAAGUGAUGAGACUCGCAGAGGUAGGACAAAUAAAUGGAAAAAAAAUUCAAAAUGGAGUCAAAUGUGUGUAGUGUAAGCUCUCUUUUCAUCAACAUUGUCUCUAUGUCACUGGCGGUGAGAACAUAAGUUUCCCAUCACCACAGCAUACCAGCAAGCUUCAUCUUUCAUAUGACACAGUCCACAAUCCACUUACAAGAGUCUAACUCCAGUCUUCCUAACGUAAAACCCUCAUACAACCCCAUAGCGUGCAUGCCAUAACAUUUAUACAGCAUUUCUUUCCAUUGAAAAGCAAAAUGAGAUUUCCAGUUGUUUCCAUACCUAUAAUCUUUUGAUUAUUGAACUUCUCGGGUUAAGCAAAUCCUUCCAGAGCCCAAAUAUGAGCUGCUCACAGAGGUACACCUCAUUCCUAGACUAGAAUGUUUACCUCUUAAUCUUCUCACUAGCAACUUAUAGCUCCUUACAAUGUUAGUGGUGAUUGACAACCCACCCAAUCAAAAACUAUAUCUUAACUAAGAAUUACAUACCUGAGAAUUUCACCAACGUACCAGCAAAAUACAUAACUUCCUUGAUUAGAACAUUAUAGAACUAACCAGCCCCUGAAUGCCUAAGUUUUUCCAAACCAAGGAACAUAUAAGCAGAAGUAAGUCAGACUAGCAAACUAGGAAGAAUUUCAAAUCAUUCAAUAAGGAGAAACUUACCUCUGUUUACUCAUAAAGAUCCUGCGCAUCCUUAGUACCAACUUCUAAAUAUUCGCUUGUAUGAGAGACAGAUGUAAAAUGAGAAAAAUUUCAUUCAUUUUCUUCUGUUAUUUGCCAUCCAAAAUAUUUUCUUCUGUUAUUUGCCAUCCAAAAUUUUGUACCAUCUUAUCAUGCAGAAUGUUGUUAGACAAGAAUAUAAUUUAGGAAAUGCAAUAGAAGAGGCAAGAAUCGUUCCCAUACUUAUAGGGUGAGUAAACUCAUUAGAUACUUCUAGCAAUCAACUUCUACAUUAAUUAUCUCAAUAAGCUAUAUCAUCUCUCAAGUCUCAACUAUCAAGUGACACAAUGUUCUGUAAAUCUCAGAUGAUAUCAUUUGUUCCUUACUGGUUCAGCUAAACAAGCAUAGUGUGCCAUGCAUAUUUUUUUUUCUAUUCCAUCAUAGUUCUUCUAAAGUUUCAUAUGCAGAAUAGUCAUCAAUACAACAACACCCAACUAGAUAGUUGAAACACAAUGAUAGGAAGUUGUCCGGUGCGUGUAUUAUUAGAACAACAAAAGCACAAAUAUAAUUCGUGAUUUAUCUCGAUUCUUAUUAAAGGUUCAAAACCAUAGAAGCACAAUCUAUAUACCUAAUAAGUAUAUACAAUACUACCAUACCAGAUGGAUGCUGACUCAGAGAAAAUGGAUCAAACCGUUUGUUUGAGCUCAAAUCCAGAACCAGGGUCAUCAGUACUAGGAUAAACCUCAAGCCCGGUGACCAUUGCAGAAGGAGGACCACGCCGACAUCUCUGCUCCAUUUCCUGAACCGCAUCGGAAUUCCCAGAAAGCAGAGUCUCCACAGACCCAUCUCUCCUGUUCCUCACCCAACCCUUCAACCCCAAUUGGGUUGCAUUCUCUAUAGUCCAGUUCCUGUAAAACACACCCUGAACCCUCCCCUUUAUCACAAGCCUCACCUGUGCACCCAAAACCCAUCACUCCAAUUGAAUACCACACAACAACAAGGUCGAAUCCUCAUAAAUUUAAACGAAAUUUCGAUAAACAUAGAGGCGAAGUUAGUUUCAAUUAAGUAAGGUGAAAUUGUUUUGAACAAAGUUAAGCUCUUCGCCACAAAUUAACAAAAACCCAAUACUCUAAUCUGAUCAGAGAAAUGAAGACUUACCGUUUUGGUGGAGGAUUGUGGGGAUUCGGAGGCGGCCUGGGUGGUGGUCAUGAGGGUCAGAGAAGGUCGAAAGUGAGGUGAACGAGUUCUGAGCAGAGGAGAAAGAGCAGGGCGAGGUAGAAGAAGAAGAGAGCAAAGCGAAAGAGGAAGAUGAAGACGAUGAUGGUGAGGACCAGUGAAAUGGGUGAUGAAUCUAAUAGGAGAACUAGCAUUGCUGAUUUGGGUACAUUUGUUCCGAGAUGCGAGGAAUUUAAUUCCGUGUUGACAUGUCAGUGGCCUAAGUGGGAUUGCUGAUGCCAUUCGAUUUCAGAAUCUGUGGCAUUAGUACUCUGGUUUUGAUUCUUCAGGAGGUUUCUGAAGGCUGAGUCAUUGCUUCACCGUAGCUUCUAGAAAAAGCUGGGCAAUCAAAACCAGGCCCUAAGAACAACAUAUAAUCAAAAGUCAAAACCACGCCAUGACACUGGUGAUAAACUUGGGCUUUUAGUUUUAUUGCAAUAUUGGGCAU
RNAcentral lists this long non-coding RNA (2837 nucleotides) under Fragaria vesca (wild strawberry). Its description in RNAcentral is "long non-coding RNA (FVES_LNC003387)". The record is from RNAcentral. Lineage: Eukaryota; Viridiplantae; Streptophyta; Magnoliopsida; Rosales; Rosaceae.